GAGGGUGCAAGCGUUAUCCGGAUUUAUUGGGUUUAAAGGGUCCGUAGGCGGAUGCGUAAGUCAGUGGUGAAAUCUCACAGCUCAACUGUGAAACUGCCAUUGAUACUGCGUGUCUUGAGUGAGGUUGAAGUAGCUGGAAUAAGUAGUGUAGCGGUGAAAUGCAUAGAUAUUACUUAGAACACCAAUUGCGAAGGCAGGUUACUAAGUCUCAACUGACGCUGAUGGACGAAAGCGUGGGGAGCGAACAGGAUUAGAUACCCUGGUAGUCCACGCUGUAAACGAUGCUUACUCGUUUUUGGGGAUUUAUCUUCAGAGACUAAGCGAAAGUGAUAAGUAAGCCACCUGGGGAGUACGAACGCAAGUUUGAAACUCAAAGGAAUUGACGGGGGCCCGCACAAGCGGUGGAUUAUGUGGUUUAAUUCGAUGAUACGCGAGGAACCUUACCAAGGCUUAAAUGGGAAUUGAUCGGUUUAGAAAUAGACCUUCCUUCGGGCAAUUUUCAAGGUGCUGCAUGGUUGUCGUCAGCUCGUGCCGUGAGGUGUUAGGUUAAGUCCUGCAACGAGCGCAACCCCUGUCACUAGUUGCCAUCAUUAAGUUGGGGACUCUAGUGAGACUGCCUACGCAAGUAGAGAGGAAGGUGGGGAUGACGUCAAAUCAUCACGGCCCUUACGCCUUGGGCCACACACGUAAUACAAUGGCCGGUACAGAGGGCAGCUACACAGCGAUGUGAUGCAAAUCUCGAAAGCCGGUCUCAGUUCGGAUUGGAGUCUGCAACUCGACUCUAUGAAGCUGGAAUCGCUAGUAAUCGCGCAUCAGCCAUGGCGCGGUGAAUACGUUCCCGGGCCUUGUACACACCGCCCGUCAAGCCAUGGAAGUCUGGGGUACCUGAAGU
This 892-nucleotide ribosomal RNA is filed under the name Chryseobacterium daecheongense. RNAcentral's name for it is "bacterial SSU rRNA". It matches the Rfam family "Bacterial small subunit ribosomal RNA", at positions 528 to 1427 of the family's 1533-position model. Lineage: Bacteria; Pseudomonadati; Bacteroidota; Flavobacteriia; Flavobacteriales; Weeksellaceae. The record is from RNAcentral.